This 372-nucleotide unclassified non-coding RNA is filed under the name uncultured Bacteroidaceae bacterium. RNAcentral describes it as "contains 16S-23S intergenic spacer region". Lineage: Bacteria; Pseudomonadati; Bacteroidota; Bacteroidia; Bacteroidales; Bacteroidaceae. The record is from RNAcentral.
UCACAUCUUACGACGGCAGUCUCAAUAGAGUCCUCAGCAUGACCUGCUAGUAACUAUCGAUAAGGGUUGCGCUCGUUAUGGCACUUAAGCCGACACCUCACGGCACGAGCUGACGACAACCAUGCAGCACCUUCACAACUGUCCGAAGAAAGAACCGUUUCCGGUUCAGUCAGUUGCAAUUUAAGCCCGGGUAAGGUUCCUCGCGUAUCAUCGAAUUAAACCACAUGUUCCUCCGCUUGUGCGGGCCCCCGUCAAUUCCUUUGAGUUUCACCGUUGCCGGCGUACUCCCCAGGUGGAAUACUUAAUGCUUUCGCUUGGCCGCUGACUGUAUAUCGCCAACAGCGAGUAUUCAUCGUUUACUGUGUGGACUAC